Molecule: ribosomal RNA, 428 nt
Filed under: uncultured bacterium
Lineage: Bacteria
Description: partial 16S ribosomal RNA
Rfam family: Bacterial small subunit ribosomal RNA
Source: RNAcentral
GUAGGGAAUAUUGCGCAAUGGACGAAAGUCUGACGCAGCGACGCCGCGUGAGUGAUGAAGGCCUUAGGGUCGUAAAGCUCUGUUGAAUGGGAAGAAAAAAAUGACGGUACCAUUCGAGGAAGGACCGGCUAACUUCGUGCCAGCAGCCGCGGUAAUACGAGGGGUCCUAGCGUUGUUCGGAAUCAUUGGGCGUAAAGGGUAUGUAGGUGGCCAUGUAAGUCAGGUGUGAAAGCCCCGGGCUCAACCCGGGAAGUGCACUUGAUACUGCGUGGCUUGAGUACCGAAGAGGGUAGUGGAAUUCCAGGUGUAGUGGUGAAAUACGUAGAUAUCUGGAGGAACACCGGUGGCGAAGGCGGCUACCUGGUCGAGUACUGACACUGAGACACGAAAGCAUGGGGAUCAAACAGGAUUAGAAACCCCAGUAGUCC